RNAcentral lists this ribosomal RNA (522 nucleotides) under uncultured Glomeraceae. RNAcentral describes it as "SSU rRNA". It matches the Rfam family "Eukaryotic small subunit ribosomal RNA", at positions 569 to 1092 of the family's 1831-position model. Lineage: Eukaryota; Fungi; Glomeromycota; Glomeromycetes; Glomerales; Glomeraceae. The record is from RNAcentral.
AGCAGCCGCGGUAAUUCCAGCUCCAAUAGCGUAUAUUAAAGUUGUUGCAGUUAAAAAGCUCGUAGUUGAAUUUCGGGGUUAGCAGGUCGGUCGUGCCAUCGGUAUGAACUGGUCUCGCUGAUCCCUCCCUCUUGACGAACUGUGAUGCCAUUAAUUUGGUGUCGCAGGGAAUCAGGACUGUUACUUUGAAAAAAUUAGAGUGUUUAAAGCAGGCUCACGCUUGAAUACAUUAGCAUGGAAUAAUGAAAUAGGACGUUUGAUCCUAUUUUGUUGGUUUCUAGGAUUGACGUAAUGAUUAAUAGGGAUAGUUGGGGGCAUUAGUAUUCAAUUGUCAGAGGUGAAAUUCUUAGAUUUAUUGAAGACUAACUACUGCGAAAGCAUUUGCCAAGGAUGUUUUCAUUAAUCAAGAACGAAAGUUAGGGGAUCGAAGACGAUCAGAUACCGUCGUAGUCUUAACCAUAAACUAUGCCGACUAGGGAUCGGAUGAUGUUAAUUUUUUAAUGACUCAUUCGGCGCCUUACA